AUGCUCCUAUGUUGUGUUAAGUGUUGGCAGAUAUCUGGACCCCGCCCUAGCGGUCCGGAACUUGGACCCCGAACUUCCCUCCCCAUACGAAGUCCGGGGUUUUUUUUGCCCGCAG
Molecule: small RNA, 115 nt
Filed under: Pseudomonas synxantha
Lineage: Bacteria; Pseudomonadati; Pseudomonadota; Gammaproteobacteria; Pseudomonadales; Pseudomonadaceae
Also listed under: 1 other name
Description: Pseudomon-1 RNA
Rfam family: Pseudomon-1/ErsA RNA
About the family: Functions to regulate the AlgC enzyme.
Source: RNAcentral